CCAAUAGCGUAUAUUAAAGUUGUUGCAGUUAAAAAGCUCGUAGUUGAAUUUCGAAAUUUUUUUAUCGGUUGAAUCAACAGGUUCGUACUGAUUUUAAGAAUUUCUACCUUCUGGAGAACCUUAAUGUCAUUUAUUUGAUGUUUUGGGAAACCAGGACUGUUACCUUGAAAAAAUUAGAGUGUUUAAAGCAGGCUUAUUGUCUGAAUAUAUUAGCAUGGAAUAAUGAAAUAGGACGGCAUGGUUCUAUUUUGUUGGUUUCUAGGAUCACCGUAAUGAUUAAUAGGGAUAGUUGGGGGCAUUAGUAUUCAAUUGUCAGAGGUGAAAUUCUUGGAUUUAUUGAAGACUAACUUCUGCGAAAGCAUUUGCCAAGGAUGUUUUCAUUAAUCAAGAACGAAAGUUAGGGGAUCGAAGACGAUCAGAUACCGUCGUAGUCUUAACCAUAAACUAUGCCGACUAGGAAUCGGACGAAGUUAAUUUUUUAAUGACUCGUUCGGCGCCUUACG
RNAcentral lists this ribosomal RNA (503 nucleotides) under uncultured Glomeromycotina. Its description in RNAcentral is "partial small subunit ribosomal RNA". It matches the Rfam family "Eukaryotic small subunit ribosomal RNA", at positions 591 to 1092 of the family's 1831-position model. Lineage: Eukaryota; Fungi; Glomeromycota. The record is from RNAcentral.